Gallus gallus (chicken) is the source of this 12815-nucleotide long non-coding RNA. RefSeq lists it as uncharacterized. The transcript has 4 exons. The record is from RefSeq and is a predicted model, not a curated record. NCBI's taxonomy places the organism in Eukaryota, Metazoa, Chordata, Aves, Galliformes, Phasianidae.
GUGAUUAGACAUUGCAAAAAGACAAGUAGAUACAUAAAGAACUUGGAGAGAGCUUCUUUGAGGCAGCAUUUUACCUUUGAGAGGAAAAAACAAGCCACUCAGGUGAAAAUUGCUAGCUCUUGCUUCAUUGUCAGCUCUACUGAGGUGCUGUCUCUCAAUGAACUUGAAGCACCCAGGCUUUACCAAACUCAAGCUAGGUGAACCAAGUAAUUUAGCCUUUUGCAAGAAGAAGAGUGAUGAUAUGGUAUUUGGUGAUAUGGGUUGGUGGUAUGGUAUGGUGGUGAUAUGGGUUCUUUAUACAGGUGCUCCAUUAGAAAUCUACUAUCUUAACUAAACGUUUUUUGAAUGAGAAUGGUGUUUCUCAGAAAGCAGACUGUUCAGUCCUAUGCUGUGGAGCUAUAUACUCAUGUUAAACUUGUUAAACCAGCAAAUACACUUUGGGCAAAAAUGAUGGCUGGCCUAAGGCCAAAAGUAUUCUUUCUUUAUGAUAACUGAGAAAAGUUGUCUUUGAUAUAACUUGGUGCAUGACAAUAUGUCACUCAGUACACAAGAUUCCCACCCACUCUGUUGCCUGACCUAGAGCAGUGAAACAGUUUUAAAAUACUUAAAUGUAGGUCUGUAAUGCUAUUCUCUCUCUCUUCUGUCAUAUCUGCCACCAUAAUGGGAAGUAUCAAAACUGCUAUUCUGUCUAAGGUGGCACUCAACUUCUCUGGAAUCUCUCAUUUUAGAAUUCUAGUAAGGUGCUGUCUUAAACAGAUGGGUGAGUUAUUGAUGUGUUAUUCAGCUGUGGUGGCUGAAAUACUGGCCAUCUCUGGCUACUUCCAUGGUCAAUCGUGCAGAUCAGAAAGUUAAUCACUUGUGAGCAAGGUGGCAUGGCUGAAGUGUCAUUGGCACCCUGAGUUAAGGAGCUAGGCUAUAUGUAGAGCUGCUGAUAUAUGAGUGUGUUGCACUCCACUGGUAUGCAACUUCAUGUAGUUUCCUGCAAAACUUCUAUGUGUACCCUGUCCUGUUUAAAAAAAAGAGAAAAAGUGGUUGUUUUUUUUUUUUUUUUGGUUUGUUUGGUUUUUUUUGUGCAUUGAGAUCACCUGUUUAUUGUUAUCCUGAAUUUACUGUAAUUUAGGCAUGUUUAAAUAAUGUUGUUAGAGAACAAAACUUGCCCUUUUGGAUUUAAUUUUCUCAGCUUUUUCAUAUGACAUCACUACUUGUAGACAGCAAAAUCCUUCACACUAACACCGAAGGUUGAAGGAAGUCAGAAAUUUGUAGCUGUAACAGCAAUAAGACAUGACAACUCUACAUUACUCUUUGAGUGGGGUUCAGUACAUCUUUAUGCAAAAGAUUUUCAAAAUUAAUAUCUGCCAGUCCACUACAAGAAUGUUUCUUUCCUCUUCCGUUUGCCUUAUAGAGGGUGCUAUGUAAUUUGACAGUUUCAGUUCCACUAAACAUCUUUUCUAUCAGAGAGAAUAUGGCAGUUCAGUUAAAAUUGGCCAUAAAAUAUGCUAAAAUCAAGUGUCAAAUAUAGCUUAUGUUACUUCAGUCAAGAACUUCCUUUUUCCACUAUAAAGCUUGAUUUUGCAUCUGCUCAUAAUAGACAAAAAUAAAAAUGUUACUCGUAGAUGUUCAUGAGUUAAAACAUUCCUGGCUUAUUAACUUUUACUUGAAGAAAUAAAGCUUCUAAAUCAAAUGUAACAUUUAUUGUGUGAAAGCUGCGUAUUGCAGCUAAUGCUCUGAACUCUAAAAUCUUUGUGGACCUUAUUUACUUAAAGCUCCUAUUGAUAUCAGUGAAGCUGAAUUACUUGCUUAUCAGCAUUAGUAGUAGCAGUCCUAACCACUGUUUAAGAAACCAGUACAAACUCUGUCACAAAUUCAUCACAUAACUACAUAAAGCUGAUGUUUUGAUGGAUUGGGAAGUACCAGCCUUUUCUGCAAAUGAUCCUUGGUGUCACAGACAUUAUUAUAUUUGAGAAAAGACCUUUUAAGAAGUUGGGUAAACUUGAUGCAUCCAUCAUUAAACACUCAGGUUCAUUAAUGACAUGGAAUUUUACCUGUGUACAACUGUAGCAGCUUCUAACUGACGGUUCAUCUGAGAGAAUUGGGCCUAAUAAGGAGGGCAGAGGUUCUCAGCUAAUGAGCAAGUCAAGGUUCUGAUCUAUUAGGUUAGAUAGAAACUACCUGUCUUUGAGACUUAAAAUAAGACUCUGGCUUUGGACUUGUUUUCAAACACUUAUUAAUCAUCAGUGGCUUAAUUCUGCAGAACAAUUCACCUGAAAUCUGUGGAACUUUUCACAGGAGAAAAAAAUGCUCUAUUGGGCCACAGAAAUACAGAACGUUCCUUGUGACAUUGUUAAAUCUUCCUCAAGCCUUCAGCCCCUGUUCUUCUACAUGCUGGCUCAUCAUCCAGGGAGGAUGAGCUCAGUCUUGGUUCUUUUUCACUGCUCAGCCACCUCUUUAAGUCUGUGAGAAAUGUAGUAAUUGACAGAGCGAUUCCUUAUAAUCAGAAUUCCUGACUAGUUGGAGAGAAAGUGUACUUUUUUUUAUACAAGAAAAAACUUCUAUUCUUAGUGAAGCCCUAGCUCCACAUGCUUAGUAGAAUGUUUUUCCUUUUUAUUUGAAAAAAAGUCAAUAUUAUUGAGAUUAUCAUAUCUAUUUUUGUUAAAUAUUAAUAAAAAUGUCUAUCAUUUUUUAAAAAAUAUACAUUGGAACAUUCAGUCACAACAUAAAUAAAAACAAUAGUGAAUUACCUGUGAAAUAACAACUAAUAGGUUUCGACAUUGUGCUGAAAUAAUGUAACCCUGGAGCUGCUUUUGUCAGUUCUAUCUGGUUCUCUGUGUCGUGACUUACUUUAUAAUGUAAAUUGACCCCCAGAAAGCUGUGCUAAAACCUGAUAGGGAGUUAUCUCUACUUGACUUCUCUGAAACACUGUCCCCAAAACUGUUAAUGUGCUUACACUGAGCACCAAGACCUUUGUGUUAAUAGUAUUUUGAAUAUGACUCGGUGAUUUAUUCUUGUCACCAGGUACUCUGCUGGAGAGGUGAUUGGGGCAUGAUGUAGUUGGGAUGUCAUAGUACUUUGAAGUCAUUAAAAUUCUAGAAUGAAGAGUGGAAAGAGGAGAAUGAGCUGAACCUGUACACGCAGGUGAUAGUCACUGAUGGAUCUGUAGUAGGUAAAAGAUUGCAAAAGAUUGUUGAACUAAAGACAGAUGCGAUCAGACAUGCCUCAAAAGAUGUCUUUUAUGAAUCAGGUAUAUGAAGACUAGUGUGAAAUACAGUGUUUGAUCAGAGUUCCAAUAUGACCAUGCUCUUGAAAGGGAGGCACUGAAUACAGAGCACAUUUAUCAAGGCAAAAGUGCUUAACUAUGACCUUAAGCACAUGCUGCUGCUUGUUAGUUUAACUGAAGCUGCACAAACAUGAUAAAAGGCUCCCAUUAUUAGCCUCUGUCAAAGUUGGAAGAUUGGACUCCAUAGCUGCCUUUGAAUUCUUGGUAGACUACAGUCUGUUCUUAGGACUGACCUUGUCACAGGCCUUAUUACACAUGGCAGCUAGAGACACCAAGUGAAGUAUGAAGAAACUUUGUCUUUUCUGAGCCAUCUUCUCAUAUGUAGCUGAAAGCUACACAGAGGAAGAAGAAAUGAUUCUACAGACCUACUGUCACACUGUGUUUCCAUGGGUGCGUGGGCAAACUGAUCUAGUACUUGAUCCAGCAGCUGUCUGUGACAGAGAAGGUGGAACUUGACUGACGUCCCUUCCAACCCAAGCCAUUGUAUGGUUCUAUGAAUAUAUUCCAAAUAUCCGAAGGUAAUGCUUUGUUGUAUUUAAAACUUGCGUUCUUAUUACUAAACAUUUCCAAUAGAUCUGGAAUCUCACUCCAUUUUUUCUUCUAGUUUAGAAAAGCUGGAGAUUACACUUCAGAAAGUCAAACUUUCUCUUAGAAACAUAUGGUGAUGCAAGUUGGAUGCAUACUGAAAAGUAAGAACUAUUGUAAAACUACAACACUGACACUGUUUGAAAUUGGAGAUAGGCUUCUGCUCUACAAAAUGUUAAGCACACUUUUUGGUGGAGCUUUAAGAUAACGAAUAACAUCCAAGACAACAAGAAUUGCCUACAAACUUAUCUAGCUCCUGUUGGAAUCAAUUAGGCAUUUCAGUUAACUUAAAUAGGAAUGAGACCCAGUAAGUUUUAGAACACUAUCAAAAAGACAGGACACUUUUUACACCAUUAUUGAAAUACAGGAAACUAAAAUGUUUUGGGACCCAUUCUUUGCACUUACUGACUUCUGCAGUAAAUCAGUUCUGAAGUAUAAUACAGUAUUUCUAAGACCUCCAAAGAAAACAUAUAUUUUUAGUGUAAUGCAAAUAAAAAGAAUUGAGUCAAUAUGUCUUUAAGGGUUGAACAAAUAUAGUUAAUUAUAAACGUUUCUUUUCAAUAACUGGUUCACUGAAACACAAGUAUAUUGGUGAAAUUAUUAUGGAGAUCAAUUUAGUCUUAAGGAAAAACCCUGGCAGCAAAAACUGCAGUGGUGAUUAAAAGAUUUCUUUUAUAAUAGGACAUUAUAAACCUAGAUUUUGUGUGUGCCUACAGCCAGUUCUAAGUAUAAAUAAAUUGUAGCUCUGAGAAUAUUAUCUAUGCCUUGUACUUCAGAGCUGUCAGUCAGUAUUUUUGAUCAUUAGCCAUCUGUGAUUAUUUUAAUUUUUGCCAGCAGGAGAAGGAACUCUUUUCCACCAGGGAGCUCUGUUAUUACAAUAUAAUUUAUAUGUAAAGAGCUCAUUUCAUUAGAGGAAAAAAAAAACUUUUAACAUUUUUUUUCCCUAAAGUUUAAAUGAAACUUGUAGCUUUAAAAUAUUUAUUUUGCAUUUCUUUUUGAUGUAAUUGGCAUGGUCCACAUAAAAGCAUUUAACAUUUUACUGGGAGAGUUAACAAUAAUUCUUUGUCUUUAGCUUAGUUUUUAUUUAACAUUCUCUACUGAAGAACUAGAAACUGAGACAGUUGUGGAUUUGAACUAUUUUACUAGAUAAAGUAUCAUUUUUCAUCUUCACUCCAUUUUAGACCCUACCCGUGUCUUUACUACAUGCUAGUUGAAAUCCUUACAGGGUCAUUUUAGAUAUACUUCCUGUCAGUCUCUUUAAAGAAUGACUUUAUAAUGACCUUGUUUGUACUAGGAAUGACUUGCUGAAAUGAAAAUGUGGCAUCUCUUUGAUUUACUGAAAUGAAACUCUGCCCAACAUUAUAGUAUAACACUAUAUUUUUAUUGACAUUGUAAAGGCUGACAUUAUAAACUGAGCAAGUUAAAUUGGUUCAGAAGAAUACUAACAUAAAAUAAAUUAGUUUAUGAAAUUUACUUAGCUAAUUCUGACUUUUUUUCCAAACAAUCCUCACUUGUCAAUGAUGCCAAGUACCUGUUGCCAUUAUUUUCAGCCUGACCUGAGUUCUUAAAUUUUGGAAGUAUUUAGAUGAAGUCAAAAAGCUGUAUCAGAAUGGUAUCAACUUCUGUCUACGUAUCAUGCUUGUUUUUAUCAUCCUAAAAAGAUAAUGAAAUUUUCUGUAUACCAAGAUAUCUAAUUCUUAUGCUUUUACAUGCAUACUCUUUCAUUCACCAUAGCUGUGUUGCUGAUAUCAUCUGUACUUUUAGUUUUUCUCUCAUAGCUCUGCAAGAAACUGGCUGUAAAAACAAUGAAAAUUGACUAGUGUGGUUGAAUUGCCUUUUCUUGAUACAAGAAAGCUUUUAAGCUUUAAUUACAUUGUUCUUAAGGUGACUUGUGCCUUGUGUUUGAUGUCUGAAUUUCAAUCAAUUCAAUAACCAUUGAAAUAUAAGGCCAGAUGAAUAGUCACUGUCAGUUAUACAUAUACUUCAGCAUUUAGAGAGUGUUUCUGUUUUACAACAUCCGAUUACCUGGUUUUAAGAUAUACAGUUAUGCAUCACAUAGCAGAUCUUCCAAAUUCUUUGAUGAAAAUGAUGAGGCAAAUUUUAGUAAACAGAGUGGGAACUAGUUAUAAAUGUCUCUCUACUGAACAAGUAAACAAUCAAAUAGAGCCUGACAUGGUUAGGACAUUCAAUUGCACUCUAUAAUCACAUUAAUGAAAAACAACAAAACAAAACAAAACAAAAAACAAGAAGACAGUCAGAAGGAAGAAGAUGCAUUUAAGUAGAAAGAAUUCUGUAGUGUAAUAAUAAAUCUGUACUGUAAUAAUUAGUUGCUUGUAUUAGCUGUUAUAAUUGGACUUGUUCAAAUCUUGCACUCUCAGCUACUUUAGAAUUUGCCAUAGGUAUCACCUGGUUUUGUACUUUCUGAUUCCUUCACAAGGAGAUCCAUAAACAAAGGAAAUAAAGGAAAAUGAUUUCUGUUCUAUUCUUCCUCCUCUUCACUCUAGAGAGGAAUGGGUGUUUUAGCAUCAUAGAAUGGCGUGGGUUGGAAGGGGCCCUAAGGAUCAUUACGUUCCAACUCCCCUGCCACAGGCAGGGCCACCAACCUCCAGCAUUUUCAGUACUGGCCAGUAAAAGGUUAUUAUUUUCCCAAAUGAAUAGUAACUUAUGUUACCAGUGGAACUCAGCAAAAGUAAAUAAGUAAGGCAAAAUAACCAUCUUGAGAAUCUAAUGACCACACUACAAGUGAUGAAGAGGGAUUUGAGGAGCAUGAAUACCUCAGAUUACCUCAGCCCACGAAAUGAAACCUUUGGGAUCUCUUCUGUCAUAUUUGCUGAAAUUGGCCAGUAAGUCUGCUGUUAUAAAAAUAGGAGUAGGUCAUACACAAACACACCACAAAUAUAUACUAAAAAACUCUCAAAAAAUGUCAAUUAGAUUUAAUGAAGAUAAUAUUCUACAAGCUUCUCUGUUUGAUAAGUUCUGGAUUAAAAAACAACAACACUAUGACAAAAAACAACUUUUGAAAAUUAUAAGAGCUUGCAAUUUGUAUAGUAAACAAUGUUGUAGUAGAAUCAGCCAGUAUAAGCUUUUCUACAUUUUUAACAAAAGUGCCUUCAUAUACUAUCCAGGUUCUGUUAAACAAAAUAUCCUUGGGACAACCUGAAAGUAAUUCAUAUUUUAACCCUGUAUUGUUAAAUUUGAUUUGAUUUGAUUGAAUCUAUAUUUAUCCUCAUGUGUGUAAUGUAGCUCCUGGAGCAUUCACAAACUUUAUAAUCUCAAUCUAUCAGGGCAAAUCUGCAAGUAAAAAACCUCACUUUUACCAGCAGGUAUUCAAUGAAUGCCAGGUGGCAUAUAAAGCACUUAGUGAAUUGUUUUAAUUGCAUUUCUCUUGUAUCUCUCAGAACUUGAGAAAGUUUCAGAAAGCAGAAGAGGAUCAGGAUAGAUUUACUUGCUGCUUUCACCUUGUUCCGACACUGCUUGUUUGCAGAAAAGACUUGCUUACAUAAUUUCACUGCCUUUCUGCCUUUUCAUGUGGGGACAAUACUUAAACUGGUACAACACAAGCUAUAUUACAGUAGAGAUGGACAUCACAACUAAUAUGAAACCAAAGAGCAACAUUUGCUGUACUUACUCAAGAAUAUAAAAGAGCUUUUAACCUAAAUCUGUUGACAUGAAGUGAAAAAUGAAAUGGUUUUCUCUUGGAAAUUAAAUAGAACUGAAAGUGGGUUUUGCUGUUGUUACAAUUUCUGCCAUUGGUUCAUUUCGUAGAAUUACUUCUAUAAUUUCAAGUGUAGCCCACCAAAGUUAAUACAGUGCUACAAAAACAUCAUAAGUUCAAAAGCUCAGACUACCAGUCUUCAUUUCAUAAACUUAUUUUUUUACUUACACCAUUGUUCUUUCUGUUUUCUCUUCAUGCAACACAACAAAGAGAAUAGAGAAUAUAAUGCAUACUCUCUAUUAUCUAAUGAGGAUUUGAGGUCGGGCUGGAGACUCUUUAACAUAGCUCAGUCAGUGAAGCUUUUGAAGGUCCAUAAUAUAAUCUUUGCCUAUGGACAGUUAAUUUCACAAUAAUCAUGUUUAAUUUCUUUAUUUUCAAGACUUAUGAUUGGGAUUUCUGAAACUGUUAGAUUGUGAAAUAUUUACUGUAUUUAUGGAAUACGUAAAGGAAUCUUUUGGAGUAUGGAUAUGGCAAGAAGUCUUAUCCUAUAAUAACUCAUACUGCUGAAGUAAUUCCAUAAAAUCAUGAUGAGUUAAUGUAAUUUGGAGAUACGAGCAGACUGAUGAUAAAGGAAUGGUAACUGUGCUCCAUUCUUGUUUGAUCUUUGUAAUGUAGACCCUAAUAAAACUAUGUGAAAACUUAGGCAGUAAGAUUAAUUGUGGUAAAAGAUAAUUAAAGGAAAACAGGGAUAAAGGAAUCAAUUAAAACAAGGUGAAAUGACAACUUGACCUCUCUAUAUAGUCAGUAUAUCUGACAGCUGUAUCCUUUUUCAAUUGUCCAGUAUUUCACAGCAUGAACUUCUGCAACAUAUAGUUGACUUCAGAUGGAAUUUGAGAGACAUUAAAAGAGUAAUUAAGUGCUCUUUGUGAAAUGCAUUGUCCUGUAGUAUAUGAAGAAAAAAAAGAAAUGAAUUGAGAGUGUUCUUUUUCUAAAAUCAAGACCUAAUCAGUGUUUCUGGACUGAGUCAGCUCUUCAGGAUAGUUCUCUCUGACUGGAGAUUUUUUGUGAAGAACAUUGUCAGUCCCACUCUUCCAUAUUUUUUCUUUCUUUUCACUUUCCUCAGCCCAGCUUUGCAGGUGUCUCAAACUAUAGUGAAUAAGCAGCCACACUAAGAUUUUUAUCAGAGUAUUUGAGUUUUUAUGAACUAAUAUUAAAACUUUAUGCAAUUGUUUGAGAUCUGUUUCAUUUUAUAUCUUUUAGACUUUAAAUAAAAGUGCUUAGAAAACAAAGCUUUGCAACAGCUUAACUUAUCCAUUCAGUGCUCAUUUUCUUCAUACAUUUAUGUUAACUGUCAGGUGCCUAUAGUUCAAGAGAUCUGAAGUUCCAUGGCCCAUUAAAAAGUCUCAAGAAAGAAUUUCUUUGAGAAGCCUGUAUAAGUCCUCUUGCACUUCUAAAAGAGAUGUAUGUUGUGUGAAGGGACAAGGAUUAAUCUUUUAUUUUCCUUUUUAAAUUAGAAGUAUAACUUACUGACAGUAGUCACAUACUCCUCCUGUUGUCCAAAUGUUAACCCAACAUUCAGAAGGCAUGGGUUCAAUACCCUGUUGUGGUACAGACACACUGACAAUCAAUCUGGUGUUCCAUUUCUACAUCUCCACAAAAAAAACCCACCCCACAUCUACUCACCUAUACUCCAGGGAUUUUAUUCAGGUAAAUAUACAUGAAUAUUAAUAUCCUUGAGAGCAUUAUAUUUAAGAUAUACAUAAAUAAUAAUUUCUAAAGGUGUACAUACAAUUCAACACCUUGAACCAGCAACUGCAGUCUAUAUUGAAAUCUGAAUUUAUAGCAUUGACUAUAUCGGGAAUUUUGCUUGAUUAAGAGUAAAAAGAUGUGUUAGUACUCUGAAAGUUAACAAAGCAUCUGUAUUCCAACUUUAAGGUAAAGUAGGAAACUUAGUUCCAAGGCCAGUAGCAAUCAAAUAUAUUAUUUAAAGAGGAAACAAAAUACAGCCUUCCAGGCAUUCAUUUGUUUAAAAGAGUUCUUUGUAUUUACAGAUCUAGUGAAAACAAAAUCCCUCUAAUACAUUCACUUAAUGCUUUAAAGUGUACGACAUUCCUUCUCACUGAAGGGAGGCACCAGAGUGAUUAUUCAAAGGCAAACUGAAACAAGAAAUAAUAGAACAUAAUGAGGAAAAUUCCAGCCAUUGAGACUCUAGAGGAGAGACAAUCAUCUUUAAAGGAUAAUUAAGAACUUUAGGGGGGUUAAAUCAACUUCAGGGGACACCCUGGGGCAUUCAGUUUCUGAAUUUUUUUGUUUUAUUUCAGUAUCAAAAUGUAGGUAAAAAUCUGUCAGUUGUCCCCAUGCCCAUGUUUUAUAUCAUUACUUCUUCAAAAAUUUAACUAGAGUGAAAUAAUUCAAUUAGCCAGGAUUUUAUUUCAUCCAAAAAACCUCAUGUUUUCUUCCUCCAUGUUUGUCACUGAUAGUUUCAUUGUUGAGUUGCUGUGAAUUUUUUUCAGUCUGAUAAGCUCAAGGUAAUCAAGAGCAAGACAAUCACAUGCAUUUCCUGGCAUUUUAAAAUGCUUUGAAAUUAAUUCUGAAUUUUGUAUUUUUAUUAUUCUAAUGAUUAAGCAAAAAGAAAGAAAGAAAGAAAGAAAGAAAGAAAGAAAGAAAGAAAGAAAGAAAGAAAGAAAGAAAGAAAGAAAGAAAGAAAGAAAGAAAGAAAGAAAGAAAGAAAGAAAGAAAGAAGGGAGGAAGGGAGGAAGGAAAACAUCAAAUUAAAAAAAAAAAACACAACAAACAAAUAAACAAAAAACACCUAUCUUCCACAUUCCCUCUUUCAGUGUCUUAUUAGCAAGACUACAGUCCUCCAGAGUCAAUUUUCCUAAUAGAGACCUCCCGUACUAUGUUGGACAAAUGUCAUGUCCCCUGGCUCUCUCCAUCUUGUAAUGAAAAUUAGACCUAUUGCCAAGUACACCUUGCUGAUUGCUUCCUACCUGCUGCUAAGGAUAAUUCGUGCAGUGUAAAUGAAGACUUCAGCAGUUGGUGAAAGUAAAAAAGGUACAAGAAAGGACUGAUGUUCAACAUUUACAAAACACAGCUAAUAAAGACACAGGUCUGCUUGGCUGAAAAUGUGUAAAGUAUAUGAAAGAUCUUUAUGUUUUCAUAAUCUUAAUUAUACCAGACAUCAUAAAUUAGUGUUUCAACUGAAAAAAUGAAUUACAUUUGCUAUCAGCUUUUCAUUUGCUCAAUCCCAUACCAGGAAUCUGGUUGUAUUUGUUCCCUUAUUUAUUCUGAAAAAUAUGUUACUGAAUGUGCUGUAUGUGAUUGCCUUUGAUUGUAAGUAAUUAAAGAAUUUGCAGUUGUUACUCUUUAGAAUGUUGCAUCUACCCAGAAUGUUAUUGUUCAUUUUUGUUAAUUGUUACCAAAUAUGCUUUCAGAUAACUUCUUACAUCUGAAAGGAGACCAUGGCAUUUCAGUGGGAAGGUAGUGUGAGGUGGUGAGUUGGAAUGGGAGACUGAAAUACAAGCAGUUCCAGUCAGCAAAGCUCUCUUUUCUACAUGGAUUCAAAUCCAUCUAGCUUGUUCUAUUCCUGUCAGGUAACAGGUCAUGCUGCCUCUUGUGUUUGUUCUGUGCUAUGAGAACAUUUGACGCUUUUGUGGGAGCAAAAGCAUUUACUUUUCCUAGUUCACUUUUUUUAGAGAAAGCAUAUUAUUAAUUGGAACGUAUUAACUGGAAGCAUAUUAUUUCUAGCUAUUGAGGGACAACUGCUGUAUUUUACAUCCAGUUUCUUCAGACAGACCUGAAUUUAAUUAGGAGUUACAAGGAAUAAAGGUAAAAACAGUCACAUUUACCACUAAGAAAUCGCACUGUGCUUGUUAUGAAGAACCAGCUUACUAAUGCUAGAUGCAACAUUCUGUAUAUUUUCGGGACUAGCAAUUCUCAUUUGUUUGGAUAAAUAUUUAACAUUUCACAUGCAGGUUCCAAAUACAGUUUUCACCUUUGUCUUCUGUAAGAAGGGCAGCAAAAGAACUGCAUCAAUAAUCACUUUAUCUUACAUAAAAUGCCACCCAUUCUCUUUCUUACUCUAAUGAGCUGUCUAAUGUCCUGUCCACACAUACGUACUUACAGACACUCUUUUUUUUUUUUUUUUUUGUCUCUUCUGAGUAGUGUUUGAGGCAUCUUCUAAUAGUAGUUUAAAAUACCUUCUGUAGUUUGACAGCUAGUCUUCCAUAUCGAUCUUCACUGCAUAUCCUUCUAAAUUUCUUGUCUCUUUUCAUGCUUAUUACCAGCCUCCUCAACAAAUUGUUUAGACAUUGUGAUAUUCUAGAGCUUCAUAGUUAUAUUGCUCUUUAACAUGCCUAGACAUUCUCUCUUUCUCAAUUGUUUUAGUUCUUUUCACCUCUAAAGAUAUACUAAUCUAAUUCACAGUGCUUUAUCUGAGAUUUACAAAAAAACAAAACCCUUUACAUAUGCUACAUAUCCAACUGGAAACCUUUUGUUCACCUGAGUUCUUGACCAGACGCAGCAGCACACCAAAAUGAAUAAUAUAUCUGCACAUUGGACUGAGGUGCCUAAAGCCUUAAAAUGCACAGCUGCAGUUUGCAGCAAGAAAAUUGUAAAAAAAAUGAUUUGUGUUAUAGCCAUUGAAGAUUAUAGUGAGCUCCUGAAAGACCUGAAGGGUUUUGAAAGCCCCCUGCCUUACUCAGGAAUUGAUAGACUUCCUCUCUUUUCAGGAUUCAGCCCACUCAGCCAAUGAGACUGAAAGACACUAAGAAUCUCAGCUUCGUCUUUUAGCCACGCUACAGUGAACCAAGCUGAGUUUGAGGGUUUUUCCAGUUAACUCUUGACUUUUCUACACUUCAGAAUUCAUCAGAAGUUACUGAAGGAUUUUGUCUUAUCAAAAUAAGUGAAAAUGUUAGUUUUGUUGUUCAGUAUUUGCUGAGUUCUGGAAAGAGAACAAAGAAAAUAUUCCCUUGUUUCAUUUCUCUUUCAAUGAGCAGUCCAGAAAGGACUUGGAAUUGGACUCAGUAAUCCUGGUAGGUCCCUUCCAGCUUGGGAUAUUCCAUAAUUCUAUGACUUCAGUAUCAAAUCAGAGAUGUUGGUAGCACUGUUCCCGCUUUGAAUGGCAGAGGUGGUUUAUUACUGUUUUUGUCAGUCUUUUGAAGUUCCUAUGUUGCAGAAGGCUCAAGGUAUCAUUUCACUGCAUUGGAUGUCAUUUCUCUUCAGUUCUAAUGACAGUUCUGGACCUCAGAAGUGAGGGGUCAUGCUCCUGUCCAGUGUUAUCUUUUCCAAUAACCAGUUCAU